Molecule: ribosomal RNA, 497 nt
Filed under: uncultured bacterium
Lineage: Bacteria
Description: partial 16S ribosomal RNA
Rfam family: Bacterial small subunit ribosomal RNA
Source: RNAcentral
GAUGAACGCUGGCGGCGUGCCUAAUACAUGCAAGUCGAGCGAACGGACGAGAAGCUUGCUUCUCUGAUGUUAGCGGCGGACGGGUGAGUAACACGUGGAUAACCUACCUAUAAGACUGGGAUAACUUCGGGAAACCGGAGCUAAUACCGGAUAAUAUUUUGAACCGCAUGGUUCAAAAGUGAAAGACGGUCUUGCUGUCACUUAUAGAUGGAUCCGCGCUGCAUUAGCUAGUUGGUAAGGUAACGGCUUACCAAGGCAACGAUGCAUAGCCGACCUGAGAGGGUGAUAGGCCACACUGGAACUGAGAAACGGUCCAGACUCCUACGGGAGGCAGCAGUAGGGAAUCUUCCGCAAUGGGCGCAAGCCUGACGGAGCAACGCCGCGUGAGUGAUGAAGGUCUUCGGAUCGUAAAACUCUGUUAUUAGGGAAGAACAUAUGUGUAAGUAACUGUGCACAUCUUGACGGUACCUAAUCAGAAAGCCACGGCUAACCACGUG